RNAcentral lists this ribosomal RNA (773 nucleotides) under uncultured Neocallimastigales. Its description in RNAcentral is "partial large subunit ribosomal RNA". It matches the Rfam family "Eukaryotic large subunit ribosomal RNA", at positions 23 to 633 of the family's 3401-position model. Lineage: Eukaryota; Fungi; Neocallimastigomycota; Neocallimastigomycetes; Neocallimastigales. The record is from RNAcentral.
GAGAGAGACAUGCGCGCAUAUCAAUAAGCGGAGGAAAAGAAACUAACAAGGAUUCCCCUAGUAACGGCGAGUGAAGCGGGAAGAGCUCAAAUUUGAAAUCUUAAAGGGUUUCCCUUUACGAAUUGUAGUUUAAAGAAGUGUUUUCUGUUGAGGUUUUGGUAAAAGUUCUUUGGAAUAGGACAUCAUAGAGGGUGAGAAUCCCGUAUUUGGUCAUUCCUCCUAGCGUUGUGAUACACUUUCAAAGAGUCGGAUUGUUUGGGAAUGCAGUCCAAAAUGGGUGGUAAAUUUCAUCUAAAGCUAAAUAUUGGCGAGAGACCGAUAGCGAACAAGUACCGUGAGGGAAAGAUGAAAAGAACUUUGAAAAGAGAGUUAAACAGUACGUGAAAUUGUCAAAAGGGAAGCGUUUGACACCAGUGUUGUUUUUCUGAAAAUCAAUUAAAGAACUGUUUAUGCUAAGUUGUUUAGACUUUAUCAGCUAACUGUUUAGUUUUGAGCUUUUCUUUAAUGCACUUUUCAGUCAACAAGUCAACAUCAAUUUCUUUUGCUGUAAAAAAGCUUGAGGAAGGUGGCUUGAGAUUCGUCUUAAGUGUUUAUAGCCUCUUGCCUAUGCAGUCGGAGAGAUUGAGGUCUGCAGCGUAGAUCCUUCGGGGCUAAAUGCAUUUGUGCUAAGUUAUAGCAUUUUAUAGACAACUUGUUGACUAUGAUUUGUCUUGUAGCUUACUCGCUUAUGUUAUUUUACCUACGCUUAGGAUGUUGAAGACUCUACAGAGAUA